CUCCUGAAUGUCUCAUUCUCAAACUAAUUUUGCUUGAAAUUGUGGCUGGAGAUGGUAUGUUUGAAACUUAAUAUGAUGAACAUAGAACAGGAAGAUUUCAACACCUUUUUAGCAAAAGAUGUUCACAUAAACCUGAAAUGAAUAUAGCCAAAGAGGACGUGGUCUUUCAGCACCUCCAGCUAAAAAAUGCUGCAGAGGAACUUCCUGUAUUAAGUACAGAUGGGGUUUCACCAUGUUCGCCAGGAUGGUCUCGAUCUCCUGACCUCGUGAUCUGUCCACCUCUGCCUCCCAAAGUGCUGAGAUUACAGGUGUGAGCCACCACUCCCAGCCUUUGUCAUCAUUUCAGAUAGGGUGAAGGAAUGGUUUAAGUCGCCUCCAAGGUAUCUUGUUGGGGGUGAGGGGUACAGAGGGGUCUUACUGAAUGGUGAUGAAAAAGGGGACACAAGCGAA
Molecule: long non-coding RNA, 450 nt
Filed under: Homo sapiens (human)
Lineage: Eukaryota; Metazoa; Chordata; Mammalia; Primates; Hominidae
Description: long non-coding RNA NONHSAT193692.1
Source: RNAcentral